RNAcentral lists this ribosomal RNA (464 nucleotides) under uncultured bacterium. RNAcentral describes it as "partial 16S ribosomal RNA". It matches the Rfam family "Bacterial small subunit ribosomal RNA", at positions 29 to 507 of the family's 1533-position model. The record is from RNAcentral.
ACGAACGCUGGCGGCGUGCUUAACACAUGCAAGUCGAACGGAAAGGCCCCUUUGGGGGUACUCGAGUGGCGAACGGGUGAGUAACACGUGAGUAACCUGCCCUUGACUUCGGGAUAACUUCAGGAAACUGGGGCUAAUACCGGAUAGGAAUCCUUGCUGCAUGGUGGGGGUUGGAAAGCUUCGGCGGUUUUGGAUGGACUCGCGGCUUAUCAGCUUGUUGGUGGGGUAGUGGCUUACCAAGGCUUUGACGGGUAGCCGGCCUGAGAGGGCGACCGGCCACAUUGGGACUGAGAUACGGCCCAGACUCCUACGGGAGGCAGCAGUGGGGAAUAUUGCACAAUGGGCGGAAGCCUGAUGCAGCAACGCCGCGCGCGGGAUGACGGCCUUCGGGUUGUAAACCGCUUUCAGCAGGGGCGAAGCUUGUGGUGACGGUACCUGCAGAAGAAGCACCGGCUAACUACGUG